Molecule: long non-coding RNA, 1156 nt
Organism: Pipra filicauda (Wire-tailed manakin)
Lineage: Eukaryota; Metazoa; Chordata; Aves; Passeriformes; Pipridae
Exons: 6
Source: RefSeq, a predicted model, not a curated record
GCCGUGUGGGGGAGUGGGGCCUAGCGAGGCCUAGUAGGACACUGGGAGGCGGAAGGUGCCAGUGGUUGUCCAGCACGACUGUGCUGUCCCAAGGAGAGUAAACUACAUCAAACAUAAAUCAAGUUCUAUCUCAGAGACUGCAUGAAAAUCAAAUCAUGCAUGGAUCUUGUUUUAUUUGCUGAGAACAGGCAUCUCCAGACUAUGUUUAGAGCUUCUAGGGGAUGCAAUUGAAGAGGUAUAAAUUAAGGUUCUUUGGAGUGGACAUCAGGGAAAUGCCUCUGGGCUCUGCUGAGCCUUAUCCUUGAACAUGCUCCUGUGCCAACCUUGUCCUACAAAAUCCAGGUGAAGGGUUAUGCAAUAGCUCAGCUCUUGGACUCAUCCAGAAGAAAAGUGAAAUCAGAGAAGUCCCUCAAGUGGAGUGCAUUAAAGGUGGCAGAACAAAGAUCUUGAAGAGACCUCAUCAAACACAGACAAUAUUCAGCAUUAAUUCAGUGUCCAUGCAGAUGGACAGGAAAUAAGGCCUGAGCGACAACUUUAUUCGCCAAAGCUCCCAUUUGUGAUGUGGAGCAUUAUCUUUUCCAGUAUUCUUACAUCAGUGGUGUCUAUGAAACAUCUGGCAGUUCCAUUGCUGUGGACGCUAUUUUAGCCAAAGCUUUCCUUGAACUCUACAUGGAAAUCAAUUUACCUCCUCAUUCUUCAUAGAGGUGGCAGCUUCUACAUAGAAAUACUCCUUUAAACAGAAGCCAAUUAAAGGGCUGGCAAACUGUUUUCAGAAAAGAAAGCUGCCUGUUCCAAAGCACUGAAUACCAGAGCCAACUACAGAAGAAAAACCAACAACCAAUUUUGUUUUUCCAAUUUAAAAGGAAAACCAUCCUGGUGCAAGAUGCUUCUAAGUGACAUGGGGCUAAAGGAAGACACCAUAGUUAAAUGCAGAAUAAUAAUUUUUCUUGGCUUUCUGUCGUAGCACACAAUUAUCUGUGAGUAAUGCUACAAAGCAACCAGUGAGCAGGGCACUUAAUAAAGCCCAAACAACUGUCACAUGUAGGUUAUAAGGUUAUUUCUCAAACAUAAAUAAACUGGAAAUCCAUCCGAUGGAUGGAAUUUGAGAAAGUGUUAUGAAGUUUACCACAAAAUAAAAAAUGAGUUUCACAUGUUA